This 62-nucleotide transfer RNA is filed under the name Crenidorsum turpiniae. RNAcentral describes it as "tRNA-Trp". The record is from RNAcentral. Lineage: Eukaryota; Metazoa; Arthropoda; Insecta; Hemiptera; Aleyrodidae.
AAAAUUUUAAGUUAAGUAAACUAAUAGUUUUCAAAACUAUAAUUAGCUUUUGUUAAAUUUUA